Molecule: ribosomal RNA, 425 nt
Filed under: uncultured bacterium
Lineage: Bacteria
Description: partial 16S ribosomal RNA
Rfam family: Bacterial small subunit ribosomal RNA
Source: RNAcentral
GUGGGGAAUAUUGGACAAUGGGCGAAAGCCUGAUCCAGCAAUGCCGCGUGAGUGAUGAAGGCCUUAGGGUUGUAAAGCUCUUUUACCAGGGAUGAUAAUGACAGUACCUGGAGAAUAAGCUCCGGCUAACUCCGUGCCAGCAGCCGCGGUAAUACGGAGGGAGCUAGCGUUGUUCGGAAUUACUGGGCGUAAAGCGCACGUAGGCGGUUACUCAAGUCAGAGGUGAAAGCCCGGGGCUCAACCCCGGAACUGCCUUUGAAACUAGGUAACUGGAAUCUUGGAGAGGUCAGUGGAAUUCCGAGUGUAGAGGUGAAAUUCGUAGAUAUUCGGAAGAACACCAGUGGCGAAGGCGACUGACUGGACAAGUAUUGACGCUGAGGUGCGAAAGCGUGGGGAGCAAACAGGAUUAGAAACCCUAGUAGUCC